UGUCUUAAGCAUGCAAGUUGAGGGGCGGCAAGGAGCAGCGAUGUUCCAUAGAGCGGCGGACUGGUGAGUAACGCGUGGAUGAUCUGCCUAUAGGUUGGGGAUAGCCUUUAGAAAUAGAGAGUAAUACCGAAUACGGUUGCUGCGGUAAGCGUGGUAAAGCCAGGAGCUACGGCUCUGCCUGAGAUGAGUCCGCGUCCCAUUAGCUAGAUGGCGGGGUAAAGGCCCACCAUGGCUGUGAUGGGUAGCCGGCCUGAGAGGGUGAACGCGCCACAUUUGGGACUGAGAUACGGCCCAGACUUCUACGGGAGGCAGCAGCAAAGAAUCUUCCGCAAUGGACGAAAGUCUGACGGAGCGACGCCGCGUGAGCGAUGAAGGCCGCAAGGUUGUAAAGCUCUUUUCGGGGGGGAAGAAUAAUGCCCGGCAGGGAAUCGCCGGCCGGAUGACAUCAACCCCGGAAUAAGGUCCGGGCUAACUACGUNNCAGCAGCCGCGGUAACACGNAGGGA
RNAcentral lists this ribosomal RNA (505 nucleotides) under uncultured eubacterium WJGRT-186. RNAcentral's name for it is "bacterial SSU rRNA". It matches the Rfam family "Bacterial small subunit ribosomal RNA", at positions 45 to 533 of the family's 1533-position model. The record is from RNAcentral.